AGAUUGAACGCUGGCGGCAUGCCUUACACAUAGCAAGUCGAGCGGGCAGCGCGGGGGCAACCCUGGCGGCGAGCGGCGAACGGGUGAGUAAUACAUCGGAACGUGUCCAGUAGCGGGGGAUAACCUGUCGAAAGAUAGGCUAAUACCGCAUACGACCUACGGGUGAAAGCGGGGGACCGCAAGGCCUCGCACUAUUGGAGCGGCCGAUGUCGGAUUAGCUAGUUGCGGGUAAAAGCCACAAGCAACGAUCCGUAGCUGGUCUGAGAGGACGACCAGCCACACUGGAACCUGAGACACGGUCCAGACGUCCUACGGGAGGCGAGCGAGUCGGGGAAUUUUGGACGAAUGGGACGCAAGGCCUGAUCCGAGCCGAUGCCGCGUUGGAGUCGAAGAACGGUCCGUUA
This 404-nucleotide ribosomal RNA is filed under the name uncultured soil bacterium. Its description in RNAcentral is "bacterial SSU rRNA". It matches the Rfam family "Bacterial small subunit ribosomal RNA", at positions 26 to 428 of the family's 1533-position model. The record is from RNAcentral.